UUCUCUGUACAUUUGCAACAGAGAUACUUGUUAGCUGUUUUACAUUUCAACUCUACUGCUGAAAGCCUGAUCCACACCAAAUGGGCUCUUUUCUUAUGGUGGAUUCUCCCUCUGAGGGCAAUUCCUUCCCUCCUUGACCAAUCUUCCACUGCCUCUACUGCUGUUGCUCCAACUGCUCCCAUAGCCAAUAUGGCCCAGAAGGAGGGCAGAACUGGAGAUAGAUGCCAGCUGCUGGUUUAAUUCUCACAAAGUCUGUACUAAAGGAAAGAAGAUACAAACAGAAGGCAGAACAAACCCCCCCAGAGGCUUGCUUACAAGACCAUGAGUCGAUAGGACCAGGAGACUGGAGGGAAGGGCAUACCACCCCGCAAACCUCUAUAGCUAUGACAGCCAUUCUUACAACUCUGAGACCUGAGGAGUUGGAAUUGCAUCUUUCAUCUAUCCACAGUUUGGCAGCCAAAUAAAGAUGUCAUCAUGGCUGAUAAAAGAAAGUAACCCAAGGAUAUCUACACCUUCUCUGAAGGAUGCUUCUUCUUGUCUCCUUUCGUUUCCGAUCUGGAAUGCAUAGGCCCUGGUCAAAAAUGAAAAUGGGAAGAGAAAUUAGCUAGCAUUUAUCUAUACAGUGAUUUAAAGCUUGCAACGUGUUGUACACAAGUUAUCUAUCUCCGUUGACCUUCACAACAACCUUAUAAGAACCAGGUGUCUGAAUGGAGCCGGAUCACCAAUGCAUUAGAAAAAAAAAGAUCACAAUUGAUAUCAAAGAUGGCCUUCUUCCAUUUGGAUUCUGCACUGGACAUCUUCUAUCAAAGGGCACAUACAUUUGAAGAGAGAUUCUGCAAGCAUAAAUGAUCAGGAAGCCUUUACGGAUGAAGUGGGAUUUGGCCUGCAUCUUGAAGUACAGUGACUAUGGUAGAGACUGGAAGAAAAGAUGAGGACCGCAAGCCAAGGCCUGAAGUCACAUGGAAGUGGGCAGAUAAACGCCAUAAGGAUUGGGAGUUUCAAGCUGGUACCAGCUGAUAUUUGUGUCCCUGUGCUCUUUGGCAAAACAAACGUCUGUUUCUCAGAAAAUGAGGUACAUGGAAAGUUUCCUAAAGAUUAUUUGACAGUUCU
Molecule: non-coding RNA, 1110 nt
Organism: Phascolarctos cinereus (koala)
Lineage: Eukaryota; Metazoa; Chordata; Mammalia; Diprotodontia; Phascolarctidae
Source: RefSeq, a predicted model, not a curated record